UCGGAUUGUAGUCUGCAACCCGACUACAUGAAGCUGGAAUCGCUAGUAAUCGCGGAUCAGAAUGCCGCGGUGAAUACGUUCCCGGGUCUUGUACACACCGCCCGUCACACCAUGGGAGUCGGAAAUGCCCGAAGCCGGUGACCCAACCAAAAGGAGGGAGCCGUCGAAGGCAGGUCUGAUAACUGGGGUGAAGUCGUAACAAGGUAUC
This 208-nucleotide ribosomal RNA is filed under the name uncultured bacterium. RNAcentral's name for it is "partial 16S ribosomal RNA". It matches the Rfam family "Bacterial small subunit ribosomal RNA", at positions 1293 to 1500 of the family's 1533-position model. The record is from RNAcentral.